This 253-nucleotide ribosomal RNA is filed under the name uncultured bacterium. Its description in RNAcentral is "partial 16S ribosomal RNA". It matches the Rfam family "Bacterial small subunit ribosomal RNA", at positions 524 to 776 of the family's 1533-position model. The record is from RNAcentral.
UACGAAGGGGGCUAGCGUUGCUCGGAUUUACUGGGCGUAAAGGGUGUGUAGGCGGUUCUUUAAGUUUGGUGUGAAAUCUCCCGGCUCAACCGGGAGGGUGCGCCGAAUACUGAGGAACUAGAGUACGGGAGAGGAAAGUGGAAUUCCUGGUGCAGCGGUGAAAUGCGUAGAUAUCAGGAGGAACACCGGUGGUGUAGACGGCUUUCUGGACCGUAACUGACGCUGAGGAGCGAAAGCAUGGGGAGCAAACAGG